GGAUCUUGCGACAAUGGGCGAAAGCCUGACGCAGCAACGCCGCGUGGGCGAUGAAGGCCUUCGGGUUGUAAAGCCCUUUUCUGGGGGAAGAGGAAGGACGGUACCUCAGGAAUAAGUCACGGCUAACUACGUGCCAGCAGCCGCGGUAAUACGUAGGUGGCAAGCGUUAUCCGGAUUCACUGGGCGUAAAGCGCGUGCAGGCGGUUUCGUAAGUCGGACGUGAAAGCUCCUGGCUUAACUGGGAGAGGUCGUUCGAUACUGCGGGGCUUGAGGUCGGGAGAGGGACGUGGAAUUCCCGGUGUAGUGGUGGAAUGCGUAGAUAUCGGGAGGAACACCAGUGGCGAAGGCGACGUCCUGGCCCGCACCUGACGCUGAGACGCGAAAGCGUGGGUAGCAAACGG
RNAcentral lists this ribosomal RNA (401 nucleotides) under uncultured bacterium. Its description in RNAcentral is "bacterial SSU rRNA". It matches the Rfam family "Bacterial small subunit ribosomal RNA", at positions 359 to 775 of the family's 1533-position model. The record is from RNAcentral.